Molecule: long non-coding RNA, 923 nt
Filed under: Elaeis guineensis (African oil palm)
Lineage: Eukaryota; Viridiplantae; Streptophyta; Magnoliopsida; Arecales; Arecaceae
Description: long non-coding RNA (EGUI_LNC010968)
Source: RNAcentral
GUUGAGAUUUAUAUUAUUAUAGUGCAAGUGUUAUUCAUUUAGAAAGAUUUAUAUUGUUGCAAUGUUUGAUAAUAUAUAUGAUCGAUUCAGCUCAUGGAGUGCUAAUUUCAGUUAAUGAAAAGUGUUGUAUGGGUUCUAAGCUUGUUAUUAUUUAUUUUGAUAUAUUAUUUAUGUAUAGGAUGCAGAACAAAAAGAGUCCCCAGGCUGCCAUUUCUUCUUUCAAUAGAAGGUCCGGAUCCAUUUUUGGAUUUCAUAAAGAAUUUAUGUUUUUUUAUUUUAAAGAUCAGUGAUCUUUUUAUUUAUUUUUUUAAAAGGGCUGAAAUAUUGUUUCAAUAAAUAAUUAAUUAAUUAAAGAAAGAUGAAGAGGGCCGACGGUGUGUUCUCCUCCUCCCGUCACGGUGGCCUUGCUUUCAAGCAUACGCCGGCGGCCUCAUGGGAUGAGAAUGGCCGGACCUCCGACAUGCCUCCGGCAACCUCCCUACCGCAAGCCACCCGUCGGCCCGGACUUGGUGGGAGGACUGCCGGCUGUGGCCCCUCCGCCUCCGUCUUAUUGUGCAAGCCCAGGGAGACGGCAGCGUCCACCGAUUAGGGUUUUCCGGCGACCACCUGCCGGCACAUGGCGGGGAAGGAGGCAUCCAGCUUCCGCCUCCUCCGCCGCUCGCGAUCGGAAAGAUGGGGAACGAGGAAAAAGCCGUCAGAUCUAGUUCUCCGGCGGUUGUCCUCUUGAUCGCCAACGUAUAUCGGCCAAAGGCCUUGGGAAGAGGGCGACGAACCGCCGAUCGGGCUUCUCCGGCGGCCGUCGACCGGAUUUUUUGGCAGAGGAAUGCUGCCGGAGUUCUUUGCUCCCCACCGAUCUCCCAUCAAGACCGACCUAACGCUGGCAUGCCGGUGGUUGGGAACGGCCGGUGACCCACCGGUGGAGG